AAAUUGAAGAGUUUGAUCAUGGCUCAGAUUGAACGCUGGCGGCAGGCCUAACACAUGCAAGUCGAACGGUAACAGGAAGCAGCUUGCUGCUUCGCUGACGAGUGGCGGACGGGUGAGUAAUGUCUGGGAAACUGCCUGAUGGAGGGGGAUAACUACUGGAAACGGUAGCUAAUACCGCAUAAUGUCGCAAGACCAAAGAGGGGGAC
This 206-nucleotide ribosomal RNA is filed under the name Escherichia coli. Its description in RNAcentral is "partial 16S ribosomal RNA". It matches the Rfam family "Bacterial small subunit ribosomal RNA", at positions 1 to 214 of the family's 1533-position model. Lineage: Bacteria; Pseudomonadati; Pseudomonadota; Gammaproteobacteria; Enterobacterales; Enterobacteriaceae. RNAcentral also lists the same sequence under 2 other names. The record is from RNAcentral.